GACGAACGCUGGCGGCGUGCUUAACACAUGCAAGUCGAACGGAAAGGCCCUGCUUUUGUGGGGUGCUCGAGUGGCGAAGGGGUGAGUAACACGUGAGUAACCUGCCCUUGACUUUGGGAUAACUUCAGGAAACUGGGGCUAAUACCGGAUAGGAGCUCCUGCUGCAUGGUGGGGGUUGGAAAGUUUCGGCGGUUGGGGAUGGACUCGCGGCUUAUCAGCUUGUUGGUGGGGUAGUGGCUUACCAAGGCUUUGACGGGUAGCCGGCCUGAGAGGGUGACCGGCCACAUUGGGACUGAGAUACGGACCAGACUCCUACGGGAGGCAGCAGUGGGGAAUAUUGCACAAUGGGCGGAAGCCUGAUGCAGCAACGCCGCGUGCGGGAUGACGGCCUUCGGGUUGUAAACCGCUUUCGCCUGUGACGAAGCGUGAGUGACGGUAAUGGGUAAAGAAGCACCGGCUAACUACGUG
This 468-nucleotide ribosomal RNA is filed under the name uncultured bacterium. RNAcentral describes it as "partial 16S ribosomal RNA". It matches the Rfam family "Bacterial small subunit ribosomal RNA", at positions 28 to 507 of the family's 1533-position model. The record is from RNAcentral.